ACAGCAAGACGAACGGUCGCUGUUUGCAAAAGCAGAGGAAAGUCCGGGCUCCUUCGGACACGAUGACGGAUAACGUCCGCCGGCUGAAAGGUCAGGGAAAGUGCAGCAGAAAAUAAACCGCCGAAAACACGAGGGGAGGCUUUUGCCUUCUCAAUGGUAUUCGGUAAGGGUGAAACGGCGAGGUAAGAGCUCACCGCAAUUCGGGUAACCGGAUUGGCAAGGCAAACCCCAUCGGGAGCAAAGUCGAGCAGGAGCCAGGCUGUCCGAGCCGUUACGAACUCCGGGUGGACUGCUGGAAAGGACGGGUAACUGUCCUUCAAGAUAAAUGACCGUUACUUGGGUAAUCGGAUUUUUGGCGGAUAUAUUUGACCAGAUAUAUUGUAACAAAUACUCUGAUUGCCGAAGGACAAAACCCGGCUUAUAGUCUUGCUGUUUUU
Molecule: RNase P RNA, 437 nt
Filed under: Planctomycetaceae bacterium
Lineage: Bacteria; Pseudomonadati; Planctomycetota; Planctomycetia; Planctomycetales; Planctomycetaceae
Description: RNase P RNA component class A
Rfam family: Bacterial RNase P class A
About the family: Ribonuclease P (RNase P) is a ubiquitous endoribonuclease, found in archaea, bacteria and eukarya as well as chloroplasts and mitochondria. Its best characterised activity is the generation of mature 5'-ends of tRNAs by cleaving the 5'-leader elements of precursor-tRNAs.
Source: RNAcentral